AGAGUUUGNUCAUGGCUCAGAUUGAACGCUGGCNNCAUNCUUAACACAUGCAAGUCGAACGGUAACGACGGGAACAAUCCUUCGGGUGCGUUCCUGGGCGACGAGUGGCGAACGGGUGAGUAAUGCAUAGGAAUCUGCCCAGUAGCGGGGGACAACUCGGGGAAACCCGAGCUAAUACCGCAUACGCCCUACGGGGGAAAGCGGGGGACCUUCGGGCCUCGCACUAUUGGAGGAGCCUAUGUCUGAUUAGCUUGUUGGUGGGGUAAAGGCCCACCAAGGCGACGAUCAGUAGCUGGUCUGAGAGGACGAUCAGCCACACUGGGACUGAGACACGGCCCAGACUCCUACGGGAGGCAGCAGUGGGGAAUAUUGCACAAUGGGCGCAAGCCUGAUGCAUCAAUGCCGCGUGUGUGAAGAAGGCCUGCGGGUUGUAAAGCACUUC
RNAcentral lists this ribosomal RNA (442 nucleotides) under uncultured bacterium. RNAcentral's name for it is "bacterial SSU rRNA". It matches the Rfam family "Bacterial small subunit ribosomal RNA", at positions 8 to 436 of the family's 1533-position model. The record is from RNAcentral.